RNAcentral lists this long non-coding RNA (2600 nucleotides) under Homo sapiens (human). RNAcentral's name for it is "HSALNT0323387". Lineage: Eukaryota; Metazoa; Chordata; Mammalia; Primates; Hominidae. The record is from RNAcentral.
GACUGACACAGGCAGCACCCUUUUGCAGAAGUAGAUGUGCGUUGCUGAGAAAUUUUCUGCCUAAGUUCUGGUUUUCUUUGCAGCACCCAGCAUUUGUUUCUAACACAGGGAAAGAGUGAGCUGGAGAAACCUCUCAAAUUCAAGAAAGCGUAAAGCAAAUUGAACAAUACGGGUGAGGGUUGGGGAAAAGAAGCCCUCUGCACACCAGAAUUACCCAGAGACAUGGAACACUUAGCACUGCAUCAUAUGUUGGCCUUACAGAGGUCCUCCGUAUUCCAAUGUGAGGAAGGAAGUGGUGGUACAUUUGCAGAAGGCACUAAAUUAAGCGACUCUAAUGAACCAGAUAGAAGGGACCACUGCAACAGGAUUUAGUUUCCUCCUCGAACCAUGAAAGAGACCAGGAGAGAAUAGGCCUUCCUCUUUGGCAGCCAACAUGGAAACAGGAUGAACAAGACCAGGAGGAGGUUUUCCUCUGUUUCACAGGAGCACGGACUAUUCUCUCAUGUUGAAUGUGGCACUUUUUACAUACAAGCAGGAGAGCAACUACACCAAGAUUUUGGAAAACAUGUUAUGUAAGUUUUUAUUUUUAAAAUCAGGAGAGAAUUUCUGCAACAUCCUAUGACCACAGAUCCCUACCCAUCUGCAUUGGGGCACUUACAGAUCACCUUCUCUUCUGAACUUUGUAUGAAGUGACCAUGUCCCUCCUAUCCCUUUCCAUGUGCACAAGAUCAUGUCAUCUCUAGCUUAUUCAAAGACAUUGCCUUAGCAAUCUGCCCUUGCCUUCUGUUUCAUCAGUUUCUAAGCAACAACUAGAAAGGCCAAAGCCUUACAGGACCAGUCUGGCCAAGGCAUAGCUACAGCAUCUUUCUCAUCUGUCUAGCAGACAGUUUCUAUUAGAUCAUUCCCACAAGUACAUACAAGCAGACUUACAUUUCUCACCUCACACUUUAUAAAAAACAAACAACUCCCCAGGCACCCACUUCUCCUCUCCAGGUACAGCCCCUUUGUUAUCCUUUCCUCUACAACUAAACUUCUUAAGAGAAAUUUCUAUACUAGCUGUUUCCUAGUUCUUCCUCAUUUUCUCUUGUGACUUCACUCCAGUCAAUCCAAGAUAACCAUUGACCUUUCUGGUGUCAAAUCUAACAUUUAUUUUUCAGGCCAUAUCUUAUUUCAUCUUUCCACAACAUCUGAUACAGUUGAUUCCUCUACUUCACCUUCUUCACUUUGCUUGAAGGACACCACAGAAAUAGAACAUGGCCAGACUCAGAAGUGCCCCUGGGACCCUCUUCCAAUUACCAUCAUUUUCCUUCUCUCCAAGUGAGCCACUUUCUAGCUUUUUAUCAUCAUUACUUUCUUUCUCUUAUAGCUUUUCCAUUUCACCAUGGAUUCCUAAAAAUUAUACUUGAUUUUUGUCUGUUUUUUUUUGAGCUUUCUCUAAGGGAUUAUGCAAAAGACAUUAUUUUUGUGUCAGGCUUCUUUUAUUCCACAUCAUAUUUAUGAGCUAUAUCUGCAUUGAGAAGAACUAUAGGAGUAAUUUUCUUCACUUUAUACUAGUUCAUCAGAGGAAAAUAUCACAAUAUAUUUAUUCUACAGUUGAUAGACACGUGAAUUUGUCUGGGAUCCAGUUCCUGGACCAUUUCAGACUCGUGUUCUAGCCUGGCUUCCUAGCUGAGGUGUCUUAGGAAUGGUGGUACUGUUCCUAGCUGCUGCUACAGAUGGGAAGCCUUCUGUGCUAUGCUGCCUGGUGAGAAAGAUGCUGUAGCUAUGCCCCAGCCAGAUUGGUCCUGUAAGGCUUUGGCCUUUCCAGUUGUUGCUUGGAGAAAUUGCUGACUCACCUUGGAAAAAGGAGGAGUUAACAGCUCAUGGUGGAUUUUGACCAAUGGAAGAUGGAGAAGAGGAAGAAGCUGAGGAUAAAUUAUUUUCUUUUCCAAUCACCAAUAAACAGAUACAUGUGAAAUGAGGUACUUAGAUGGCCUCUUAGAAAACAUCCUGGGAGAUCAAGGCAUCAGUUGCAAUUGCUGUCAAAUAAAGGCCAGUUCUGUUCCACUUCCCCUGUGUUUUCUCCUCUUCUUUCCAUACCUAAUUUGGGAUUCCUUUUCGACUCACUCCUGUGUCUCUGGAGUCAUACUCCUCAAUAAAAUGGGAGCACGUACACUUUUGACUAAGGCUCUGUUUUCUAGAAAGCCCAGAAAAUCCCUCCCAGGACCAGCUACAUAGUUGGUUGGACCAAGUGCAAUAAAAAUACAGGGGCUUUUGCUCAACAAUUAUUAAGAAUGUUAAGAUUAUGGCAGUAGAACAUUAAGCCAAGUGGAGCCCUUCUAAGCCCUGGGUCCUAUGUGACCUCACAGGUCAUGUGUCCAUGAAGCUGACCUUCAUUCCUCCCAUUCAGCUCCCCACAACCCCCAGUCCUCCAAUUCUCCAUACCCCUUCCUCAAGUCCUCCACUAUUACUUGUUCAUGUGUGCUGCUAGAAAAUACCUAUCAUUUAUCUAUCCAUCUUUCUAUCAUCUCUAUAUGUGGAUAGGUGCUUUUUUUUUUUUUUUUUUUUUUUUUUUUUUGCCAAACACUAGUUUUCAAAGAUGAAGUGCUAUUUUUAAAGGG